CUCUCACUGGCAAUCUGUCCAUGAGGAAUGGACGUGGACAUGUCUUCUGAAUGUGGAAGCUUGGCUCGCCUCUUCUUCUUCUGUGGUUUUGAAGCUUCACUGCCAGCAAAGAGGGAUUAAUAAUGCAU
Molecule: long non-coding RNA, 128 nt
Organism: Thalassophryne amazonica
Lineage: Eukaryota; Metazoa; Chordata; Actinopteri; Batrachoidiformes; Batrachoididae
Exons: 3
Source: RefSeq, a predicted model, not a curated record